RNAcentral lists this ribosomal RNA (253 nucleotides) under uncultured bacterium. Its description in RNAcentral is "partial 16S ribosomal RNA". It matches the Rfam family "Bacterial small subunit ribosomal RNA", at positions 524 to 776 of the family's 1533-position model. The record is from RNAcentral.
GACAGAGGUGCCGAGCGUUAGGCGGAAUCACUGGGCUUAAAGCGUGUGUAGGCGGACAAUUAAGUACCUUGUGAAAUCCCACGGCUUAACCGUGGAACGGCUGGGUAUACUGGUUGUCUUGAGCCACUUAGGGGCGAGCGGAACAAAUGGUGGAGCGGUGAAAUGCGUAGAUAUCAUUUGGAACGCCAAUGGUGAAAACAGCUCGCUGGGAGUGUGCUGACGCUGAGACACGAAAGCCAGGGUAGCGAACGGG